UACGAAGGGGGCUAGCGUUGUUCGGAGUUACUGGGCGUAAAGCGCGCGUAGGCGGACCUGCAAGUCGGGGGUGAAAGCCCGAGGCUCAACCUCGGAACUGCCUUCGAUACUGCGGGUCUCGAGUCCGGGAGAGGUGAGUGGAAUUCCUAGUGUAGAGGUGAAAUUCGUAGAUAUUAGGAAGAACAACCAGUGGCGAAGGCGGCUCACUGGCCCGGUACUGACGCUGAGGCGCGAAAGCGUGGGGAGCAAACAGG
RNAcentral lists this ribosomal RNA (254 nucleotides) under uncultured bacterium. RNAcentral's name for it is "partial 16S ribosomal RNA". It matches the Rfam family "Bacterial small subunit ribosomal RNA", at positions 524 to 776 of the family's 1533-position model. The record is from RNAcentral.